This 250-nucleotide ribosomal RNA is filed under the name uncultured bacterium. RNAcentral's name for it is "partial 16S ribosomal RNA". It matches the Rfam family "Bacterial small subunit ribosomal RNA", at positions 355 to 595 of the family's 1533-position model. The record is from RNAcentral.
UAGGGAAUCUUCGGCAAUGGGGGCAACCCUGACCGAGCAACGCCGCGUGAGUGAAGAAGGUUUUCGGAUCGUAAAGCUCUGUUGUAAGUCAAGAACGGGUGUGAGAGUGGAAAGUUCACACUGUGACGGUAGCUUACCAGAAAGGGACGGCUAACUACGUGCCAGCAGCCGCGGUAAUACGUAGGUCCCGAGCGUUGUCCGGAUUUAUUGGGCGUAAAGCGAGCGCAGGCGGUUUUGAUAAGUCUGAAGU